Molecule: Y RNA, 113 nt
Organism: Pongo abelii (Sumatran orangutan)
Lineage: Eukaryota; Metazoa; Chordata; Mammalia; Primates; Hominidae
Rfam family: Y RNA
About the family: Y RNAs are components of the Ro ribonucleoprotein particle (Ro RNP), in association with Ro60 and La proteins. The Y RNAs and Ro60 and La proteins are well conserved, but the function of the Ro RNP is not known.
Source: Ensembl
GGCUGGUCUGAAAGUAGUGAGUUAUCUCAAUUGAUUGGUCACAGUCAGUUACAGAUCAAAUUCCUCAUUCUACUCUUUCCCCACUUCUCACUACUGCACUUGACUCAUCUGAA